UACGUAGGGUGCUAGCGUUGUCCGGAUUUAUUGGGCGUAAAGAGCUCGUAGGCGGCUUUGUAAGUCGGGUGUGAAAACCCCAGGCUCAACCUGGGGACGCCACUCGAUACUGCAAUAGCUAGAGUCUGGUAGGGGAUCACGGAAUUCCUGGUGUAGCGGUGAAAUGCGCAGAUAUCAGGAGGAACACCGGUGGCGAAGGCGGUGAUCUGGGCCAGUACUGACGCUGAGGAGCGAAAGCGUGGGGAGCAAACAGG
Molecule: ribosomal RNA, 254 nt
Filed under: uncultured bacterium
Lineage: Bacteria
Description: partial 16S ribosomal RNA
Rfam family: Bacterial small subunit ribosomal RNA
Source: RNAcentral